AUGAAGGACCGGACUGAAAAAUUGUCUUGUUUUAACAAUCAGAAGAGAUGCAUACACAUAAUUAUUCUUUAUAUAUUUCUUGUGCAUGAUAAUACAAAAGGUGUGUUUCUAUAUAUAUUUGUUUUUGCAGAGUAUCAGAGAGAUGAAGAUGGAUUACGAUAUUCAAAAAGAAUUCAUCGACAAGGGUGUUCAGGCUAUGUUGUUGAAAUGGGCCAAAAAUUCACUAAGUUUUAUACAACAGAAGGCCCGUGGCAACGCACGGUCAUGUCACACACUGAUGAAUUAUUGGCAUGGGAUAAUCUCUAG
RNAcentral lists this ribosomal RNA (306 nucleotides) under Triticum aestivum (bread wheat). RNAcentral describes it as "partial small subunit ribosomal RNA". Lineage: Eukaryota; Viridiplantae; Streptophyta; Magnoliopsida; Poales; Poaceae. The record is from RNAcentral.